This 253-nucleotide ribosomal RNA is filed under the name uncultured bacterium. Its description in RNAcentral is "partial 16S ribosomal RNA". It matches the Rfam family "Bacterial small subunit ribosomal RNA", at positions 524 to 776 of the family's 1533-position model. The record is from RNAcentral.
UACGGGGGGGGCAAGCGUUGUUCGGAAUUACUGGGCGUAAAGGGCGCGUAGGCGGCCUUCUAAGUCGGACGUGAAAUCCCUCGGCUUAACCGAGGAACUGCGUCUGAUAGUGGAAGGCUUGAAUCCGGGAGAGGGAUGUGGAAUUCCAGGUGUAGCGGUGAAAUGCGUAGAUAUAUGGAGGAACACCGGUGGCGAAGGCGGCAUCCUGGACCGGCAUUGACGCUGAGGCGCGAAAGCUAGGGGAGCAAACGGG